UCCUACGGGGCGCAGCAGUGGGGAAUAUUGCACAAUGGGGGAAACCCUGAUGCAGCGACGCCGCGUGAGCGAAGAAGUAUUUCGGUAUGUAAAGCUCUAUCAGCAGGGAAGAAAAAUGACGGUACCUGAGUAAGAAGCACCGGCUAAAUACGUGCCAGCAGCCGCGGUAAUACGUAUGGUGCAAGCGUUAUCCGGAUUUACUGGGUGUAAAGGGAGCGCAGGCGGUGCGGCAAGUCUGAUGUUAAAAUCCGGGGCCCAACCCCGGAACUGCAUUGGAAACUGUUUAUCUAGAGUGUCGGAGAGGC
This 305-nucleotide ribosomal RNA is filed under the name uncultured bacterium. RNAcentral's name for it is "bacterial SSU rRNA". It matches the Rfam family "Bacterial small subunit ribosomal RNA", at positions 337 to 658 of the family's 1533-position model. The record is from RNAcentral.